Molecule: ribosomal RNA, 497 nt
Filed under: uncultured bacterium
Lineage: Bacteria
Description: partial 16S ribosomal RNA
Rfam family: Bacterial small subunit ribosomal RNA
Source: RNAcentral
GAUGAACGCUGGCGGCGUGCCUAAUACAUGCAAGUCGAGCGAACAGACGAGGAGCUUGCUCCUUUGACGUUAGCGGCGGACGGGUGAGUAACACGUAGGUAACCUACCUAUAAGACUGGGAUAACUUCGGGAAACCGGAGCUAAUACCGGAUAAUAUUUCGAACCGCAUGGUUCGAUAGUGAAAGAUGGCUUUGCUAUCACUUAUAGAUGGACCUGCGCCGUAUUAGCUAGUUGGUAAGGUAACGGCUUACCAAGGCAACGAUACGUAGCCGACCUGAGAGGGUGAUCGGCCACACUGGAACUGAGACACGGUCCAGACUCCUACGGGAGGCAGCAGUAGGGAAUCUUCCGCAAUGGGCGAAAGCCUGACGGAGCAACGCCGCGUGAGUGAUGAAGGUCUUGGGAUCGUAAAACUCUGUUAUUAGGGAAGAACAAACGUGUAAGUAACUGUGCACGUCUUGACGGUACCUAAUCAGAAAGCCACGGCUAACUACGUG